RNAcentral lists this ribosomal RNA (372 nucleotides) under uncultured organism. Its description in RNAcentral is "bacterial SSU rRNA". It matches the Rfam family "Bacterial small subunit ribosomal RNA", at positions 526 to 896 of the family's 1533-position model. The record is from RNAcentral.
CGGGGGGGGCAGGCGUUGUUCGGAAUUACUGGGCGUAAAGGGCUCGUAGGCGGCCAACUAAGUCAGACGUGAAAUCCCCAGGCUCAACCUGGGAACUGCGUCUGAUACUGGUUGGCUUGAAUUCGGGAGAGGGAUGCAGAAUUCCAGGUGUAGCGGUGAAAUGCGUAGAUAUCUGGAGGAAUACCGGUGGCGAAGGCGGCAUCCUGGACCGACAUUGACGCUGAGGAGCGAAAGCUAGGGGAGCAAACGGGACUAGAUACCCCGGUAGUCCUAGCCCUAAACGAUGAAUGCUUGGUGUGACGGGUAUCGAUCCCUGUCGUGCCGAAGCUAACGCAUUAAGCAUUCCGCCUGGGGAGUACGGUCGCAAGGCUG